This 297-nucleotide ribosomal RNA is filed under the name uncultured bacterium. RNAcentral describes it as "partial 16S ribosomal RNA". It matches the Rfam family "Bacterial small subunit ribosomal RNA", at positions 789 to 1084 of the family's 1533-position model. The record is from RNAcentral.
GGUAGUCCACGCCCUAAACGAUGUCAACUAGGUGUUGGGGGAGCAAUCUCUUGGUACCGCAGCUAACGCGUGAAGUUGACCGCCUGGGGAGUACGGUCGCAAGAUUAAAACUCAAAGGAAUUGACGGGGACCCGCACAAGCGGUGGAUGAUGUGGAUUAAUUCGAUGCAACGCGAACAACCUUACCUACCCUUGACAUGUCCGGAAGGCUACUGAAAGGUGGCUGUGCCCGAAAGGGAACUGGAACACAGGUGCUGCAUGGCUGUCGUCAGCUCGUGUCGUGAGAUGUUGGGUUAAG